Non-coding RNA from Megalopta genalis, 550 nucleotides. NCBI's taxonomy places the organism in Eukaryota, Metazoa, Arthropoda, Insecta, Hymenoptera, Halictidae. The record is from RefSeq and is a predicted model, not a curated record.
UCCAAUCCGCAGUGGAUCUUGUUUCAGCAGUGAAUAGUUGACCAAUCAGAGCAAAAAAGAAUUCUAUAUCGUGCGCAGAUGGAAUAGUACCCAUUACUGUAUGUAUAUCCCUCUGGUGGCAAAAAAUGAUCAUACCGGUGCGACGUUUUACUUGUGGAAAAGUGAUUGGCAACAAAUGAGAAGCUUAUCUUAGUCUGCUACAGGCAGAAUACAUAGAGGGAUAUGCACUUGAUGCACUAGGAUUGAAGAGAUACUACUGUAGAAACUUUUGAAUUAUGCACCAUUGGAAAAAAUAGAUGACAUUCUCAAUAUUCAUCCCCAUACUUCAUCUUGUACAUUAAUGCACAUGUUGUAAUAUAACUGUAUAAAUUAGUUACGCGAUAAUUGUGAUGGAUGAUAAAAAUAAAGCACCUUGAUCCAUAUAUGUUUCAUAAAUGGCUUUAGAAUAUAGACACCAUAUGUUACUACUUUGUAAGCUACCAUGGCAUUCUUUCGAUUGUAUAUGUAAUAAGUACGAAAAAUAAAUACACAAAUUGUAGUGUAAAAUGUA